UGCAAGUCGAGCGGUAGCGGGGAAAAGCUUGCUCUUUUGGCGGCGAGCGGCGGACGGGUGAGUAAUGUCUGGGAAACUGCCUGAUGGAGGGGGAUAACUACUGGAAACGGUAUCUAAUACCGCAUAACGUCGCAAGACCAAAGAGGGGGACCUUCGGGCCUCUUGCCAUCAUAUGUGCCCAGAUGGGAUUAUCUAGUAGGUGGGGUAACGGCUCACCUAGGCGACGAUCCCUAUCUGGUCUGAGAGGAUGACCACCCACACUGGAACUGACACACGGUCCACACUCCUACGGGAGGCAGCAGUGGGGAAUAUUGCACAAUGGGCGCAAGCCUGAUGCACCCAUGCCGCGUGUAUGAAGAAGGCCUUCGGGUUGUAAAGUACUUUCAGCGGGGAGGAAGGUGAUGAGGUUAAUAACCUUAGCAAUUGACGUUACCCGCAAAAGAAGCACCGGCUAACUCCGUGCCAGCAGCCGCGGUAAUACGGAGGGUGCAAGCGUUAAUCGGAAUUACUGGGCGUAAAGCGCACGCAGGCGGUCUGUCAAGUCGGAUGUGAAAUCCCCGGGCUCAACCUGGGAACUGCAUUCGAAACUGGCAGGCUAGAGUCUUGUAGAGGGGGGUAGAAUUCCA
RNAcentral lists this ribosomal RNA (626 nucleotides) under Enterobacter sp. RNAcentral describes it as "bacterial SSU rRNA". It matches the Rfam family "Bacterial small subunit ribosomal RNA", at positions 56 to 671 of the family's 1533-position model. The record is from RNAcentral. Lineage: Bacteria; Pseudomonadati; Pseudomonadota; Gammaproteobacteria; Enterobacterales; Enterobacteriaceae.